This is an RNA transcript of Salmo salar (Atlantic salmon), 2908 nucleotides long. RefSeq lists it as uncharacterized. Lineage: Eukaryota; Metazoa; Chordata; Actinopteri; Salmoniformes; Salmonidae. The record is from RefSeq and is a predicted model, not a curated record.
GGUAAUCCCGCGGGAUUUGGAAAUGAUAAAUAGGGAUUACUGUCUCAUCUUCUCUCUCUUUCUGUUCGGGGCCUUGAUCUGUUCCUAUGGGAGUAAACAUUAAUUAGACUUGGUAUAGUUGUGUACAUUCGGCAUUUAGCGGCGUGGGCUGUGGCCUGAACAAUAGCCCAGUUUAGGAAUAAACCUGUGUUCUGACCUGCACACCUAGAGUCCGUCUCUUUUUCCUUUAUGACCCAGCCGGGUCAUUACAGUAUUAUUCUGUAGGAGGUGUUCCCAGUGCAGUACGGUACUAAGUAUGACACAGCACUGCAGAUUCUGGUGUGGGAGUUCUUCUCCAGAUUGGAGGAGCUGCUGCCGGUGCCCAGCUUUACACAGACAGCAUCUUGUCUCAGCCUUGCCUUCUCUGACCUGGAGGAGUGUGUUCAGUCUGUCUCUGACCCUGAGCACCUGAAGACACUGCUACAGCAUCAAAGACACCUUGUCUCGGUGUCUCACCGUGUCUCAAUCCUCUUCAAUGGCUGUGCGAAGCUGCAGGAUAUUGGCGGAAACUGGAAUACGCUGCCACACAUGUUGAUCCAGAGCAUCCCAAACAUGCUCAAUGGGUGACAUGUCUGAGCCGUGUGUCCUCUGAAACACGACCCAGCCAAGCCGCACUGCUUCUUGACACAAUGUCCGCUUAACCCGGAAGCACCAAUGUGUCGGAGGAAACACCGUACAUCUGGCGACCAUGUCAGCGUGCAUGCGCCUGGCCCGCCACAGGAGUCGCUAGAGCACAAUGGGACAAGGAAACCUCAGCCUGCUAAACCCUCUCCUAAACCCUCUCCUAAACCCUCUCCUAAACCGGACGACGCUGAGCCAAUUGUGCACCGCCUCAUGGGUCUCCCAGUAAUGGCCAGCUGUGACACAGCCUGGGACCCAGAUCUGUAGUGAACCCAGAUCUGUAGUGACGCCUCAAGCACUGCGAUGCAGUGUCUUAGACCACUGCGCCAAUUGGAAGGCCCCUGAGUGGUGCAUUAAAUUCUUUGGCAACAGCUCUGGUGGACAUUCCUGCAGUCAGCAUGCCAAUUGCACGCUCCUUCAAAACUUGAGACAUCAUUGUGUUGUGUGACAAAACUACACAUUUUAGAGUGGCCUUUUAUUGUCCCCGGCACAAGGUGCACCUGUGUAAUGAUCAUGCUGUUUAAUCAGCUUCUUGAUAUAGCACACCUGUCAGGUGGAUGGAUUAUCUUGACAAAGGAGAAAUGGUCACUAACAGGGAUGUUAGCUUUUUGUGCGUAUAACAUUUCUGGGAUAUUUUUUCGGCUCAUGAAACAUGGGACCAACACUUUACAUGUUGCAUUUAUAUUUUUGUUCAGUGUACAUGGUAGUUACAUGAGCAGACACCUUACUAUAAAGCACUUUGUGAUGUCUGAUGUAAAAAGGGCUUUAGGAAAAACAAUCUGAUUUACUUUUUUCCAACUUCAUUUUCAGUUCAUUGGGCUGCAGCCUAUCGUUUUUUCAACAACCCUAAAAAUGCACCCCUUCUAAGUGCCCUGGAGCAGUCAUCUUGUGUCCGUUUCCAUGCAGCAUCCUUGUGGACUUCCUGUUCUAUACUGUCUUUUUAUAGGAAAACAAACACAAAGUAACACCUGACCGACCCACUAACACCUCCCUCACACAACCAUGCACCAACAACGUACCAAAAGACUGGAGAAACACUGAACAAAAUGAGUAGAUACAGUACAGACAGUACGGACAGGCUGGAGUCAAGUAAUUCCCUUUUAAUUAAUUAUUAUUCCAAACAGAAAAGUCUUCAAUCUACUUUAUCCAAUUUCACUGUUAAUAUGAUCAUAAAGGAAAUUCUGUUUGCAUUGAUAAACUAGUGAGUUCUUCAAGACACCUUAGUGACAGAGUGCCUGGAACAAAGUUGAUCAGCACACAUUCACAGCAGUCCCCCACCCAUUCAUUAUACAGGGACUGUUUAGUGUAAGUAAUAAGGGUCCAUGGGGGUUAUUCAUUCAAAAUAAAACUACAGUUACUGUACAUUUGCCACUUUUUCCACGCAAAAAAAUAAAAAAAGGUGUCCUUUUUGUAGUGUACCAGUAUGUACCAGUAUGCAUAAAUACAAUCUCCAUAAAUUGUUAUAUCCAUAAAAAAUACAACUAGUUCAAGGUGAUAGUUUCAUGAAUAACCAUGUCUUUUUUGAAAUCCUUAGAACAUUACCAAAUGUACCAAUUAUUAUCAUGUAUUAGACAUGGCUAGAGUAAGUAGAUUUUGACUUUAUCAUUCUGCCUGGCCAAUUAUACCAAACAUUUGUCAUUUGGCACAGGAUCGAUAUGUAUUUGUCACACAGACACAAUGUAUGCAACAAACAACACAUGUAGUCUGACAAUGCUGCAGACCUUAUCCAAUGACAGGUUUUAUAGAAACACUGGACCAGCCAGAUGACUGUUCAAUCAGACAGGCCGGUGAAAUCUUUUCAUGCAACAGAUUUUAAGAAGGGUCAAUAUCAAACUCACAAUAGAUCCCACCUUCAUCUUUUAACACUUUCUUGGGUUAUUUACUUGCUCCUAAACACUGCCUCCCAAAAAACUGCUUUGAUGAAGCAUGAGCUCAAAUUAAAACAAGCAUUAUCAACAAUGGCAGACCUUGGUCAAGUACACAUCUAAAAUACAGUGCUCUUGAUUUAGCUUACGAAGUAAAAUGGAACCAAUGGAAUAAUCCCAAAAGUAUAAACUCCACCCACUCAGCAAUACCUCAAGUAUUUGAAAGUUGACAUACUGGUAUGUAUUUGACAAUGUCUGCCUCAGAGAAGUAUUCUUGUGAUAAAAUUAAUGCUGGGAGUCUGGGUGAGAUAGUGGUUGAGUGAUAAGAUUAAAAAGUGAAACCGCUUAUGUUUGUGUAAUCUCCAGUAAAGCAAUACAAUUUA